CUGGGGCGGGGACAGGAGACGGUGGUGGUGAGGGUGGGUCUUUCCGGGGACGAUGCCGUCCGCCUUCUCGGUCAGCUCUUUCCCCGUCAGCAUUCCUGCCGUGAUCACGCAGACGGACUGGACGGAGCCGUGGCUCGUGGGGCUGGCUGUCUUCCACGUGCUGUGCCUGCUGCUCACCUGUCUCUCUGCCCAGAGGUAUAAACUCCAGGUCGGGCAUUUCCUGUGCUUAGUGAUUUUGGUUUAUUGUGCCGAGUACAUCAACGAGGUGGCAGCGAUGAACUGGAGGCCUCGGGAUGUCCUCCCGGCGGAGACCCCAGGCCGCCCUCUGGUGACCGCAGCUCCACCCGUGGCCCCCGCCAGCCUCUGUCCCCGGGGUGGAGACCCGCAGGGUGUCUCCAGCCGUCACCACCCUCUGCUCAUCUUCCGCUCCCCCUUCAUCCUGCCUGAGAGCCAGGCCCCACGUCUGCUUACGGCUCAGCACCUGCACCCACACGUGUGAGCGAGGCACAGCUGUGCAAACCGAGGGGCUUCAUCCGUGACCGUCGAAAGUGCGUCUAGAUGUGGGUUUCAAACAGUGGUCCGUGGGCCGUGUCUGGCCCACUCCUUUUAUGUGGCCUGUGAGCUAAAAAUGGUCUUGAUGUUUCUAGGCGCUAAAAUGUUCACAUUCUUGAAUGUAAAAAAAGAGAAGAACGACUAGAUUGUCAGCAAAAAGGAGUUGCAGACCUUGCCUCUUGGCCCACGAAGCAUGAGUCAUUUUCAAAAUACCAGUAUUUCGAUUCACGGGGGAUGUUCAUUUCUCUAGUGUUUUCAGCACCGCUGCUGCUCAAUGCCAUGAUCAU
RNA transcript from Suricata suricatta (meerkat), 839 nucleotides. It is a transcript of the gene named transmembrane protein 18, with no coding region annotated. Lineage: Eukaryota; Metazoa; Chordata; Mammalia; Carnivora; Herpestidae. The record is from RefSeq and is a predicted model, not a curated record. The transcript has 5 exons.